AAGGGAGGAGUAGUCACCAAAUGACAGGGUUCACUUGUUUUCCAAUUCAAUAUUGGAUUGGCAAUACGGGUUCACAUGUUGUAGGCUGUUUAUGAUAUAACAAUAUAUUUAAUUUUAGCCGAGCAAAAAGAAUUGGGUUGAAGAACCCAAAUGUGUAAGACUAAAUAAAGAUAUAGCUAAUUAACCAACAGUUUUGGCGACAUUUAGCAAUUAAUGAAUCAGAUGAAACCAAACCGACCAAAUACACAGCAUUUGUAAUGAAAAGAAGUCUGCAACAAGAGAUUAUAGAGUCAAAGUCAGGAAACUACGUGUUGCUACAACCUUUGUCCC
RNAcentral lists this long non-coding RNA (330 nucleotides) under Gossypium barbadense (sea-island cotton). RNAcentral describes it as "long non-coding RNA (GBAR_LNC021646)". The record is from RNAcentral. Lineage: Eukaryota; Viridiplantae; Streptophyta; Magnoliopsida; Malvales; Malvaceae.